AAUACUAGAGUUUGAUCCUGGCUCAGAUUGAACGCUGGCGGCAGGCCUAACACAUGCAAGUCGAGCGGUAGAGAGAAGCUUGCUUCUCUUGAGAGCGGCGGACGGGUGAGUAAUGCCUAGGAAUCUGCCUGGUAGUGGGGGAUAACGUUCGGAAACGGACGCUAAUACCGCAUACGUCCUACGGGAGAAAGCAGGGGACCUUCGGGCCUUGCGCUAUCAGAUGAGCCUAGGUCGGAUUAGCUAGUUGGUGAGGUAAUGGCUCACCAAGGCGACGAUCCGUAACUGGUCUGAGAGGAUGAUCAGUCACACUGGAACUGAGACACGGUCCAGACUCCUACGGGAGGCAGCAGUGGGGAAUAUUGGACAAUGGGCGAAAGCCUGAUCCAGCCAUGCCGCGUGUGUGAAGAAGGUCUUCGGAUUGUAAAGCACUUUAAGUUGGGAGGAAGGGCAGUUACCUAAUACGUGAUUGUUUUGACGUUACCGACAGAAUAAGCACCGGCUAACUCUGUGCCAGCAGCCGCGGUAAUACAGAGGGUGCAAGCGUUAAUCGGAAUUACUGGGCGUAAAGCGCGCGUAGGUGGUUAGUUAAGUUGGAUGUGAAAUCCCCGGGCUCAACCUGGGAACUGCAUUCAAAACUGACUGACUAGAGUAUGGUAGAGGGUGGUGGAAUAUCCUGUGUAGCGGUGAAAUGCGUAGAUAUAGGAAGGAACACCAGUGGCGAAGGCGACCACCUGGACUGAUACUGACACUGAGGUGCGAAAGCGUGGGGGAGCAAACAGGAUUAGAUACCCUGGUAGUCCACGCCGUAAACGAUGUCAACUUGCCGUUGGGAGCCUUGAACUCUUAUUGGCGCAG
RNAcentral lists this ribosomal RNA (855 nucleotides) under uncultured bacterium. Its description in RNAcentral is "bacterial SSU rRNA". It matches the Rfam family "Bacterial small subunit ribosomal RNA", at positions 1 to 851 of the family's 1533-position model. The record is from RNAcentral.